AAAAAGACGCUGGCGGCAUGCCUAACACAUGCAAGUCGAACGAGACCUUCGGGUCUAGUGGCGCACGGGUGCGUAACGCGUGGGAAUCUACCCUUGGGUUCGGAAUAACAGUUAGAAAUGACUGCUAAUACCGGAUGAUGACGAAAGUCCAAAGAUUUAUCGCCCAAGGAUGAGCCCGCGUAAGAUUAGCUUGUUGGUGGGGUAAUGGCCUACCAAGGCGACGAUCUUUAGCUGGUCUGAGAGGAUGAUCAGCCACACUGGGACUGAGACACGGCCCAGACUCCUACGGGAGGCAGCAGUGGGGAAUAUUGGACAAUGGGCGAAAGCCUGAUCCAGCAAUGCCGCGUGAGUGAUGAAGGCCUUAGGGUUGUAAAGCUCUUUUACCAGGGAUGAUAAUGACAGUACCUGGAGAAUAAGCUCCGGCUAACUCCGUGCCAGCAGCCGCGGUAAUACGGAGGGAGCUAGCGUUGUUCGGAAUCACUGGGCGUAAAGCGUGCGUAGGCGGUGACUCAAGUCAGAGGUGAAAGCCUGGAGCUCAACUCCAGAACUGCCUUUGAAACUAGGUCGCUAGAACAUCGGAGAGGUGAGUGGAAUUCCGAGUGUAGAGGUGAAAUUCGUAGAUAUUCGGAAGAACACCAGUGGCGAAGGCGGCUCACUGGGACGAUGUGACGC
RNAcentral lists this ribosomal RNA (672 nucleotides) under uncultured bacterium. Its description in RNAcentral is "bacterial SSU rRNA". It matches the Rfam family "Bacterial small subunit ribosomal RNA", at positions 26 to 746 of the family's 1533-position model. The record is from RNAcentral.